UAGAUUUUCAGGUCAAGUUACUAAGGGCGUGAGGUGAAUGCCUUGGCACAGAAAGGCGAUGAAGGGCGUGGUAAGCUGCGAAAAGCGUCGGUGAGGUGCAAACAACCCUAGAACCGGCGAUUCCCGAAUGGGGCAACCCAGUGCAGGUAAUGCUGCACUAUCAUAUACUGAAUACAUAGGUAUAUGAGGCUAACGAGGGGAACUGAAACAUCUAAGUACCCUCAGGAAUAGAAAACAAUAGUGAUUUCCCUAGUAGCGGCGAGCGAACGGGAAAUAGCCUAAACCUAUAUCACAUGUUACCCGUUGGUUUAGUGGUAUAGGGGUUGCGGGAGCAUACAGGCGGAGUGACGGAUCCGCCACAGAGUUACAAAGGUAUCGAUUAGUCGAACAGUUCUGGAAAGGCUGACCGAAGACGGUGAUAGUCCGGUAGACGAAAGUUGAUACUCUCUGGUUUGUUUCCCAAGUACCGCGGGACACGAGAAAUCUUGUGGGAAUCCAGGAGGACCAUCUCCUAAGGCUAAAUACUCUUCCGUGACCGAUAGUGAACCAGUACCGUGAGGGAAAGGUGAAAAGUACCCCGAGAGGGGAGUGAAAUAGUACCUGAAACCACACGCCUACAAUCUGUGGGAGCCGGAAUUUGAAUCUUCGGAUUCUUUGGAAGGUGACCGCGUGCUUUUUGCAUAACGAGCCAACGAGUUGCUCGUGCGUUGCGUUAGGUUAAGGAUCUCAGAUCCGGAGCCGAAGCGAAAGCGAGUCUUAAUAGGGCGCUAGUAACGUGCGGCAGACGCGAAACCGGGUGAGCUACCCAUGGCCAGGUUGAAGCGUCGGUAAAACGACGUGGAGGACCGAA
RNAcentral lists this ribosomal RNA (850 nucleotides) under FCB group bacterium. RNAcentral describes it as "partial 23S ribosomal RNA". It matches the Rfam family "Bacterial large subunit ribosomal RNA", at positions 1 to 778 of the family's 2925-position model. The record is from RNAcentral. Lineage: Bacteria; Pseudomonadati.